This 929-nucleotide ribosomal RNA is filed under the name bacterium MPI.06. RNAcentral describes it as "bacterial SSU rRNA". It matches the Rfam family "Bacterial small subunit ribosomal RNA", at positions 144 to 1058 of the family's 1533-position model. The record is from RNAcentral.
UCACUCCGGGAAACCGGAGCUAAUACCGGAUAGUUCCUUGAACCGCAUGGUUCAAGGAUGAAAGACGGUUUCGGCUGUCACUUACAGAUGGACCCGCGGCGCAUUAGCUAGUUGGUGGGGUAAUGGCUCACCAAGGCGACGAUGCGUAGCCGACCUGAGAGGGUGAUCGGCCACACUGGGACUGAGACACGGCCCAGACUCCUACGGGAGGCAGCAGUAGGGAAUCUUCCGCAAUGGACGAAAGUCUGACGGAGCAACGCCGCGUGAGUGAUGAAGGUUUUCGGAUCGUAAAGCUCUGUUGUUAGGGAAGAACAAGUGCGAGAGUAACUGCUCGCACCUUGACGGUACCUAACCAGAAAGCCACGGCUAACUACGUGCCAGCAGCCGCGGUAAUACGUAGGUGGCAAGCGUUGUCCGGAAUUAUUGGGCGUAAAGGGCUCGCAGGCGGUUUCUUAAGUCUGAUGUGAAAGCCCCCGGCUCAACCGGGGAGGGUCAUUGGAAACUGGGAAACUUGAGUGCAGAAGAGGAGAGUGGAAUUCCACGUGUAGCGGUGAAAUGCGUAGAGAUGUGGAGGAACACCAGUGGCGAAGGCGACUCUCUGGUCUGUAACUGACGCUGAGGAGCGAAAGCGUGGGGAGCGAACAGGAUUAGAUACCCUGGUAGUCCACGCCGUAAACGAUGAGUGCUAAGUGUUAGGGGGUUUCCGCCCCUUAGUGCUGCAGCUAACGCAUUAAGCACUCCGCCUGGGGAGUACGGUCGCAAGACUGAAACUCAAAGGAAUUGACGGGGGCCCGCACAAGCGGUGGAGCAUGUGGUUUAAUUCGAAGCAACGCGAAGAACCUUACCAGGUCUUGACAUCCUCUGACAACCCUAGAGAUAGGGCUUUCCCUUCGGGGACAGAGUGACAGGUGGUGCAUGGUUGUCGUCAG